This 505-nucleotide ribosomal RNA is filed under the name uncultured bacterium. RNAcentral's name for it is "partial 16S ribosomal RNA". It matches the Rfam family "Bacterial small subunit ribosomal RNA", at positions 28 to 507 of the family's 1533-position model. The record is from RNAcentral.
GACGAACGCUGGCGGCGUGCCUAAUACAUGCAAGUAGAACGCACAGUUUAUACCGUAGCUUGCUACACCAUAGACUGUGAGUUGCGAAUGGGUGAGUAACGCGUAGGUAACCUGCCUGGUAGCGGGGCAUAACUAUUGGAAACGAUAGCUAAUACCGCAUAAUACUGAUUAUUCCAUGAUAAUUGAUUGAAAGAUGCUAUUGCAUCACUACCAGAUGGACCUGCGUUGUAUUAGCUAGUAGGUGAGGUAACGGCUCACCUAGGCGACGAUACAUAGCCGACCUGGAGAGGUGGUCGGCCAAACUGGGACUGAGACACGGCCCAGGCUCCUAAGGGAGGCAGCAGUAGGGGAUCUUCGGAAAUGGACGGAAGUCUGACCGAGCAACGGCGCGUGAGUGAAGAAGGUUUUCGGAUCGUAAAGCUCUGUUGUAAGAGAAGAAAGGGUGUGAGAGUGGAAAAUUCACACUGUGACGGUAUCUUACCAGAAAGGGACGGCUAACUACGUG